GACGAACGCUGGCGGCGUGCUUAACACAUGCAAGUCGAGCGGUAAGGCCCUUUCGGGGGUACACGAGCGGCGAACGGGUGAGUAACACGUGGGUGACCUGCCCUCAGCUCUGGGAUAAGCCUGGGAAACCGGGUCUAAUACCGGAUAUGACUCCAUGACGCAUGUUGUGGGGUGGAAAGCCUUGUGCGGCUGAGGAUGGGCCCGCGGCCUAUCAGCUUGUUGGUGGGGNGAUGGCCUACCAAGGCGACGACGGGUAGCCGGCCUGAGAGGGCGACCGGCCACACUGGGACUGAGACACGGCCCAGACUCCUACGGGAGGCAGCAGUGGGGAAUCUUGCGCAAUGGGCGAAAGCCUGACGCAGCGACGCCGCGUGAGGGAUGACGGCCUGGUGUAAC
This 396-nucleotide ribosomal RNA is filed under the name uncultured bacterium. Its description in RNAcentral is "bacterial SSU rRNA". It matches the Rfam family "Bacterial small subunit ribosomal RNA", at positions 28 to 429 of the family's 1533-position model. The record is from RNAcentral.